AUUUGACCAUUCGAAAAAAAAAUCAGAAAAGGAAAGAAAAAAAAGAGACAGAGAUCUAGAACGGUCUCUUCACCGACAAAAGAAGAGAUGAAGAGAAAUCUUUGGUCGAUGGUGAAAAUCAAAGGUGUACGACUCUGUAUGAGUAAAUACCAAAUCAGAAUCUCGAAAUCUUUCUGUACAUGAAAAUCGGUUGAUUCUGAUGAUAGAUCUUAGUCUAGCGAACAUAAAAUCACCGACAGCUCCCUAGAAUCGGUUACAUGAAAGACGCUUACGGAUGUUCCAUCGAUCCGUUCAGUGGUAUAAGAUGACUUAUCGGUUGAUUCUGAUGAUAGAUCUUAGUCGAGCGGUCUUCGAUCAGAACUGAUUUUGACUAUUCCCUGAUAGAGUCGGAAACACCUCAGCAAGCACGAGCUUCUCAGAUGUCAAGCUCGUACUGUCCAUCGUCUUGCUCAAAACCUGGAGAGCGAUGUUCAUCAUUUUUACAUCUAGUCUGUUGUACACAACAGUAUGAUGACGAAGGACACGACGGGUCCUAUCCAAGCAAAGUUGAUCUCCAAUUCUCAAAGUUCCUUGUCCUAUCCAAGCAAAGCCUUACAGUACACAGAUAAGUAUCCAACUAUGGAUUUAAUUUUUGGGUUAUACAUGAGAAACAGUAUAUGUUUUAUAGUUAGUGAGUUGACUUAAUAGUAUAGAUACAAUUCAUGUAAAGGUCGAGCAGUCAAAGGUUUAGAGACAAAAGCUUUAUUCAUUUUAAGGACAUGGGACAGAGACAUGGCUGCAAAGCAAUACAAACCCAAGGUAUAGGAUUUGAGAAGAUGAUUUGAUGGGUUUGUUACGGUAUACAGAUCGAGAAACGGUAUUGGGCUUGAUGAUUUCUGUUUGGUCAGAAUUGUAAAACAAAUCAAAUACAGAUGGGCUAUAACGUUAUAGAGCUGAGAAAUUGUAGAUGAAUUUUUUUUCUUACAAAUUCGGGGGACUAUUUAUAUAUAAUGUUUUUCAAAAAAAUUUGGGGCUUAAGGCGAAUGUUUCAUCCGGUUUAGCCCUUAACCGGGCCUUCUAGAGAUACACAAGUCAUUCAAGAUUUAA
Molecule: RNA transcript, 1086 nt
Organism: Brassica oleracea var. oleracea
Lineage: Eukaryota; Viridiplantae; Streptophyta; Magnoliopsida; Brassicales; Brassicaceae
Exons: 4
Source: RefSeq, a predicted model, not a curated record